UAAUACGAUGGGCUAUCUGGUGACGGC
Molecule: small RNA, 27 nt
Filed under: Bombyx mori (domestic silkworm)
Lineage: Eukaryota; Metazoa; Arthropoda; Insecta; Lepidoptera; Bombycidae
Description: ovarian small RNA-2903
Source: RNAcentral